GGGAAUCUUCCGCAAUGGGCGAAAGCCUGACGGAGCAAUACCGCGUGAGGGAUGACGGAUUUUGGUCUGUAAACCUCUUUUCUCAAGAAAGAAGUUCUGACGGUACUUGAGGAAUAAGCAUCGGCUAACUCCGUGCCAGCAGCCGCGGUAAUACGGGGGAUGCAAGCGUUAUCCGGAAUCAUUGGGCGUAAAGCGCCUGUAGGUUGUUUAAUAAGUCUGUUGUUAAAGACUAGGGCUUAAAGCCUAGAAAAGCAAUGGAAACUACUAGACUAGAGUAUGGCAGGGGUAGAGGGAAUUUCUAGUGUAGCGGUGAAAUGCGUAGAUAUUAGAAAGAACACCGGCGGCGAAAGCGCUCUACUGGACCAUUACUGACACUCAGAGGCGAAAGCUAGGGGGAGCAAAAGGGAUUAGAUACCCCCUGUAGUCA
Molecule: ribosomal RNA, 427 nt
Filed under: uncultured cyanobacterium
Lineage: Bacteria; Bacillati; Cyanobacteriota
Description: bacterial SSU rRNA
Rfam family: Bacterial small subunit ribosomal RNA
Source: RNAcentral